Molecule: long non-coding RNA, 1962 nt
Organism: Falco peregrinus (peregrine falcon)
Lineage: Eukaryota; Metazoa; Chordata; Aves; Falconiformes; Falconidae
Exons: 3
Source: RefSeq, a predicted model, not a curated record
GUACCCCACUGGAAUUAUCCAGUGCAGCAAGUUCCCAUAAUCUCCUGGCUCCGUGCGUGGAAGCAGCUCACACAACCGACUCAGUGCACACGUUUAGAGUUUGUCGCUUUGGGUUUCAUCAGCCUGUGCAUGCGCAUGGCAAUAGGUAUCGGUUCUGCACAAGCGCCUCUCAUUCAAACUCUCGUGUGUGUGCCUGCAUGUCCUGUGCCCGGAGUCCUGUUCACCCUCUGUACCAUACGGUACUUGCAUGCAGGAGCUGUUUACAAUUAAAAUUGCUGUGAAAUAAGUCCUGAGGAAUUUGGCUUUGUAUCGCCUUUUUCGCAUUUGAGGAAUGCCAUGGGAUUGAUCUCUGACCUGGAGGGCAACACAGAGGUGACCUCCACCUCUGACCUCUCUUCCUCCAAAGGACCCAGCUGGGCUAUGUUUACAGCAGCAGCCUGCCAGCCCUGGGCUGCUCUGCAAGUACCACCCUCAAGCACAGGGUUUCCUGUGAUCUUGAAGCAAAUUUUCCCGCUUGCCCAUGUUUCAGUUUUAGUAGCAGUUAUACCGAGGCUGCUGGCUGUUCGGCAAGAAUGUAUUGUUAGAGGAGCAGCAGAAGGAUUUUUAUGCAACAGGCACAGCUGGAGAAUUUACCUCUGCACUGUGCCCACUGUGGUUUCAGCCUCAUUUCUCUCUGGGAGAAGUAACGGAACUUCUGGGAUUGCUCUGCACCAAGGGCAGGGCAAAGUCCAGCAGCAGAGGUGCGGUGGUUUCAGCUGCUCUCUUGAAGACACUCAGGGUCUGGUUUUGGUAUUAGAGGGCAAGUGAGGACUACCUGAACUGAAAUUCCCCUGACAUCCAGAAAUCACUAAGAAAAGGAAAUUCUGGGGACGGUAACUGGUGAAGAUUUAUUUCAUUGUGUACUUCUGAAGAAAAAUCCAUGUUACAAAACAAGGGCUGGAGUUGUGGCAGAUGGUGCUUUUCUGAAGAAGAAAUAAGUGUUUAAUAAAUAUUGUAAUAGUGUGAACCAGAUGUUCAUCUCACAUUUUAUCUUUGAAAACAUUUGGGAGGAUGCCAGAUAGAUACAUAUGUGAAUCACAGAUCUUGAAAAAAUACACAACUGGAUCCCCAGGGGCUCAUUAAGGGAGGAGUAACUUUCUGCGAGCCAUCAAACUCAACUGUAAAAGCAAGAUCUGUUAAAGCUGUGACUAAGUAUCUCCUAGGAACUCCCUUUCACCUUUCACAGAGGCAGAGUGGCACUCCAGUAGAAUGACAGCAGUAAUCUGGUUUUUCAAGGAAAAUGAUGGCUCCAGUUUCAUCAAGUAUUUUGGAAAGUAAUACUUAACUAAGUAAGGAAAGCUUGUAAUGAACUGCUACUCUUAUCAGGCUUUGUCUGGCUCUCCACUGGGAUGCAGAGGUGCGUCCCUAGCUAUACAGGGCAACAUUUUCAAGUGCUCUAUGUAUUGGGCCUUCCAGCAAAAUGUUUUUUGUGUCUGAAUUACUCUUGCUAUGUGACAUCCUUCCAGUCUUCAGUGAGCUGUCCCAAUUUCUUCUCAUGCAGUGGAGAAGUGCUCCCAGCCCUGCUCUCUCCACCUGCAGCUGAGCUACCCAAAGGCUCAUCUUCAUACUAGGUGCUCCUGGCAGAGCACAAGCAUGAGGUCAGAGCUCCCAGUCUGGUGCUGAGCUCUUGUGACAAGACUAUUUUAAUCCCCAUGUACCUGUCACUCCUCUGUGUGUGCCAGGCACACUCUCCCUGGGUGACACUUCAGUUACCUGGGAGCAUCACAACUGUGCCUGUACUUCUGCUCGGGUACGGGCACCCCCCUGCCUCCCUCCAUCCCCCAGGGCUGGCUGGCAUGAGAGUGACUUCACUGGACGUGGCUAUAGAAGAUCAGCUAUCUCGACCUUGUUUCCCUUUCGUGCUUACAGUAAACAAAUUCUUGAUUCCAACCAAGAUCUCCUGCCUUACUGUCUUCACUUAGA